GUCCCCAUAGCUCAGUGGAUAGAGCGUCCGCCUCCGAAGCGGAAGGCCGCUGGUUCGAAUCCAGUUGGGGGCA
This 73-nucleotide transfer RNA is filed under the name Microbacteriaceae bacterium MWH-Ta3. RNAcentral describes it as "actinobacterium MWH-Ta3 tRNA". It matches the Rfam family "tRNA". Rfam says of the family: Transfer RNA (tRNA) molecules are approximately 80 nucleotides in length. The record is from Rfam by way of RNAcentral. Lineage: Bacteria; Bacillati; Actinomycetota; Actinomycetes; Micrococcales; Microbacteriaceae.